GAUGAACGCUGGCGGCGUGCCUAAUACAUGCAAGUCGAGCGAACAGAUAAGGAGCUUGCUCCUUUGACGUUAGCGGCGGACGGGUGAGUAACACGUGGGUAACCUACCUAUAAGACUGGAAUAACUCCGGGAAACCGGGGCUAAUGCCGGAUAACAUUUAGAACCGCAUGGUUCUAAAGUGAAAGAUGGUUUUGCUAUCACUUAUAGAUGGACCCGCGCCGUAUUAGCUAGUUGGUAAGGUAACGGCUUACCAAGGCAACGAUACGUAGCCGACCUGAGAGGGUGAUCGGCCACACUGGAACUGAGAUACGGUCCAGACUCCUACGGGAGGCAGCAGUAGGGAAUCUUCCGCAAUGGGCGAAAGCCUGACGGAGCAACGCCGCGUGAGUGAUGAAGGUCUUCGGAUCGUAAAACUCUGUUAUUAGGGAAGAACAAAUGUGUAAGUAACUGUGCACGUCUUGACGGUACCUAAUCAGAAAGCCACGGCUAACUACGUG
RNAcentral lists this ribosomal RNA (497 nucleotides) under uncultured bacterium. RNAcentral's name for it is "partial 16S ribosomal RNA". It matches the Rfam family "Bacterial small subunit ribosomal RNA", at positions 28 to 507 of the family's 1533-position model. The record is from RNAcentral.